RNAcentral lists this long non-coding RNA (497 nucleotides) under Sorghum bicolor (sorghum). RNAcentral describes it as "long non-coding RNA (SBIC_LNC018422)". Lineage: Eukaryota; Viridiplantae; Streptophyta; Magnoliopsida; Poales; Poaceae. The record is from RNAcentral.
UUAGCGGCGGCGGCGGCGGCGGACGACAUGAUGGCCGCCUGCCGUCAACAAGAGAGGAGGCGGCCGGGGGCUGGGUAGGUCGGUCGACUCGUAUCGUAUUCGUAUAUAUAAAGCAGUGCUGUACGAUCGAGGACACAUAUGCACAUUGGACCAUUAUUGGGCUUUUAUUAGCUGAUGAGAGCUGUACGCGUUAGGCUGGGCCAGGAUUCUGGGUGUUUUUUUUUUAUUUUAUGAAAAUGGAUCGGACAAAAACAUAGAGCUACUUGUUUUUUCCUAAGAUGAAAACAAAACAAUCAAAAUUAUAGGUAGUUUUUACUUCUGAAAAUUCGAUUAUUGAUGUGGUAUGCAAAUUUAUUUAUACAUAUAAUACAUUAUUAUGGAUGCAUUUUUUCUACUCCUCCGAAUAGUUACUUUCAUCUUCAAUAAACCACAUUGUGUAUACGUGCAUACUCAUUUAUCAAUUUGAGUACGUAAAUACUCAUUUUAAGAUACUCCAA